UGGGGAAUAUUGCACAAUGGGCGAAAGCCUGAUGCAGCGACGCCGCGUGGGGGAUGAAGGCUUUCGGGUUGUAAACCUCUUUCGCUAUCGAACAAGGCCCGCUUAGGGUGGGUUGAGGGUAGGUGGAGAAGAAGCGCCGGCUAACUACGUGCCAGCAGCCGCGGUAAUACGUAGGGCGCGAGCGUUGUCCGGAAUUAUUGGGCGUAAAGCGCACGCAGGCGGUUUGUUAAGUCAGAUGUGAAAUCCCCGGGCUCAACCUGGGAACUGCAUCUGAUACUGGCAAGCUUGAGUCUCGUAGAGGGGGGUAGAAUUCCAGGUGUAGCGGUGAAAUGCGUAGAGAUCUGGAGGAAUACCGGUGGCGAAGGCGGCCCCCUGGACGAAGACUGACGCUCAGGUGCGAAAGCGUGGGGAGCAAACAGG
RNAcentral lists this ribosomal RNA (420 nucleotides) under Chloroflexota bacterium. RNAcentral's name for it is "Chloroflexi bacterium partial 16S ribosomal RNA". It matches the Rfam family "Bacterial small subunit ribosomal RNA", at positions 355 to 776 of the family's 1533-position model. Lineage: Bacteria; Bacillati; Chloroflexota. The record is from RNAcentral.